This 291-nucleotide ribosomal RNA is filed under the name uncultured bacterium. RNAcentral's name for it is "partial 16S ribosomal RNA". It matches the Rfam family "Bacterial small subunit ribosomal RNA", at positions 773 to 1060 of the family's 1533-position model. The record is from RNAcentral.
GUGGAUUAGAUACCCUGGUAGUCCACGCCCUAAACGAUGCGAACUAGGUGUUGGGGAAGGAGACUUCUUUAGUACCGUAGCUAACGCGUGAAGUUCGCCGCCUGGGGAGUACGGUCGCAAGAUUAAAACUCAAAGGAAUUGACGGGGACCCGCACAAGCGGUGGAUGAUGUGGAUUAAUUCGAUGCAACGCGAAAAACCUUACCUACCCUUGACAUGUCCGGAACCCUGCUGAGAGGUGGGGGUGCCCGAAAGGGAAUCGGAACACAGGUGCUGCACGGCCGUCGCCAACU